GGCGGGUUAGCGUAAUGGCCUAACGCGUCAGUUUCCGAGAGGUGGUAGCUGGAGAUUCCGGGUUCGAGUCCCGGGCCUGUCG
This is a non-coding RNA of Asterophora parasitica, 82 nucleotides long. The record is from the annotation of a GenBank genome assembly. Lineage: Eukaryota; Fungi; Basidiomycota; Agaricomycetes; Agaricales; Lyophyllaceae.